UACGUAGGGGGCUAGCGUGGUCCGGAAUCAUUGGGCGUAAAGAGCGUGUAGGCGGUCCGGUAAGUCCGCUGUGAAAGUCGGGGGCUCAACCCUCGAAUGCCGGUGGAUACUGUCGGGCUAGAGUGCGGAAGAGGCGAGUGGAAUUCCUGGUGUAGCGGUGAAAUGCGCAGAUAUCAGGAGGAACACCUAUUGCGAAGGCAGCUCGCUGGGACGUUACUGACGCUGAGACGCGAAAGCGUGGGGAGCAAACAGG
Molecule: ribosomal RNA, 253 nt
Filed under: uncultured bacterium
Lineage: Bacteria
Description: partial 16S ribosomal RNA
Rfam family: Bacterial small subunit ribosomal RNA
Source: RNAcentral